GCUCCCAUGGCGUAGUGGUCACUGCGCUCGCCUUGCACGCGGGAGACCCGGGUUUGAUUCCCGGCGUGGUCA
RNAcentral lists this transfer RNA (72 nucleotides) under Diaphorina citri (Asian citrus psyllid). It matches the Rfam family "tRNA". Rfam says of the family: Transfer RNA (tRNA) molecules are approximately 80 nucleotides in length. The record is from Rfam by way of RNAcentral. Lineage: Eukaryota; Metazoa; Arthropoda; Insecta; Hemiptera; Psyllidae.